GGUCAUCUAGCUCAGCUUUGGUUAGAGCGCUUCGCUGAUAACGAAGAGGCCCGGGGUUCAAAUCCCUGGAUGGCCA
Molecule: transfer RNA, 76 nt
Filed under: Paeniglutamicibacter antarcticus
Lineage: Bacteria; Bacillati; Actinomycetota; Actinomycetes; Micrococcales; Micrococcaceae
Also listed under: 1 other name
Description: tRNA-Ile
Rfam family: tRNA
About the family: Transfer RNA (tRNA) molecules are approximately 80 nucleotides in length. Their secondary structure includes four short double-helical elements and three loops (D, anti-codon, and T loops).
Source: RNAcentral